GUGAUACUGAAUCUAAUAUAAAAGCAAAUUUGUAUAGAAGAAAUCCAGGGACAGCAGCGGUCAGAAGAUAAUUCACAACUUGAUGAGGUAAACUACCUUGAAUACCCCUGAGAAUGAGAGAGUAAGCAAGGAGACCUCGAGUGGCCAAAGCAGAGAUUUCAGUUAUAUUUACUGGACAAAAUGGACACCAUAAUCAACAGGGAAACACAGGAUGUACUUUGG
RNAcentral lists this long non-coding RNA (222 nucleotides) under Homo sapiens (human). RNAcentral describes it as "HSALNT0264700". Lineage: Eukaryota; Metazoa; Chordata; Mammalia; Primates; Hominidae. The record is from RNAcentral.